Molecule: transfer RNA, 71 nt
Filed under: Phrynosoma platyrhinos (Desert horned lizard)
Lineage: Eukaryota; Metazoa; Chordata; Lepidosauria; Squamata; Phrynosomatidae
Description: tRNA-OTHER
Source: RNAcentral
GACAAUAUGGUGUAGUGGUUUGAAUAUUGGACUAUGAGUCUGGAGGCCAGGGUUCGAAUCCCACUCUGCCA